This 496-nucleotide ribosomal RNA is filed under the name uncultured bacterium. RNAcentral's name for it is "partial 16S ribosomal RNA". It matches the Rfam family "Bacterial small subunit ribosomal RNA", at positions 29 to 507 of the family's 1533-position model. The record is from RNAcentral.
AUGAACGCUGGCGGCGUGCCUAAUACAUGCCAGUCGAGCGAACAGAUCAGGAGCUUGCUCCUUUGACGUUAGCGGCGGACGGGUGAGUAACACGUGGGUAACCUACCUAUAAGACUGGAAUAACUCCGGGAAACCGGGGCUAAUGCCGGAUAACAUUUAGAACCGCAUGGUUCUAAAGUGAAAGAUGGUUUUGCUAUCACUUAUAGAUGGACCCGCGCCGUAUUAGCUAGUUGGUAAGGUAACGGCUUACCAAGGCAACGAUACGUAGCCGACCUGAGAGGGUGAUCGGCCACACUGGAACUGAGACACGGUCCAGACUCCUACGGGAGGCAGCAGUAGGGAAUCUUCCGCAAUGGGCGAAAGCCUGACGGAGCAACGCCGCGUGAGUGAUGAAGGUCUUCGGAUCGUAAAACUCUGUUAUUAGGGAAGAACAAAUGUGUAAGUAACUAUGCACGUCUUGACGGUACCUAAUCAGAAAGCCACGGCUAACUACGUG